RNAcentral lists this transfer RNA (72 nucleotides) under candidate division TM6 bacterium JCVI TM6SC1. It matches the Rfam family "tRNA". Rfam says of the family: Transfer RNA (tRNA) molecules are approximately 80 nucleotides in length. The record is from Rfam by way of RNAcentral.
GGGCGUGUAGCUCAGUGGUAGAGCACUGCUUUGACGUAGCAGUGGCCGGCGGUUCGAUCCCGCCCGCGCCCA